UAAAUCAAUGAGGGACAAUUUGUGUCUCUUAGCUUGGAAGAACAUGGAGGCAUAGCGAAUGGGCUAGUCAUCGUUUCAGUCGUCGUUGUUAGUUAGGCGGUCUGAUUGUUUCUCGUCUAUAU
Rosa chinensis is the source of this 122-nucleotide small nucleolar RNA. RefSeq annotates it as small nucleolar RNA snoR111. Lineage: Eukaryota; Viridiplantae; Streptophyta; Magnoliopsida; Rosales; Rosaceae. The transcript has a single exon. The record is from RefSeq and is a predicted model, not a curated record.